GGUACAGCAGGACUUCCCAGAUGAUUCAUUUCACGUAAGCAAGAGAGAGGCUCUAUUGAAAUAUCUUUUGGAGCUGAUCAAUAUCAGCGAGGCAGAUCAGAGGAGAAGAGUGGAAAAAAUAGAUAGAGCCACUAGUGCUGUCACAAUCUACGGAACAGGAGAUCUUGGACUAGUACCAGCACCUAUGUCAAUUAGAAGUUCACAUGCUUUAAAACCCAAAAAUAAUAUGACACCGACAGCCACAUUUGAAAUUACAGGGGAUGAAAAUGUAAAAUUGAGACCAAAAACAGCUGGACCCCGCUAUGGUGUUACAAAGGUACAUGGUUUAAAGCCUCAGUUUCAGUCUCAAUACAUGGAAGAAGAUAAAUAAGGAACCCGCUAACUGAGGUCAUAAUUAAUUCAUUCAGAGGAGAUAACCAAGAAUUAUGGCUGGAAGAUACAAAAUGGUAGGAAAGAAAGCCACUCAAGAUGAGAAAUUGAACAAUGGGCAGAUAAGACAAAAACAAAGUGUUGAUUAAUCUAGAUCAUCUAUCUGUCUGUUUGGUCAGACACUAGCAUUACUUCUCAACACUUUCUCUGUGAUUGUACUAUUGUUUGUAUUCCAACAAUGAUUUUAUAUUACACAUUAAGGGCUUGUUUCUCAUUUUGAAACUUCUUUGAAAGUCAUGUCAUUUCUGUAUCUUUCAAAGCCUAUCAGAACUGUCUUUAAAUAAGAUUCUUUCUUGAUUUUACUCAAAGUUUUGUUAUUGAUGACUGUGCUGCAUUUGACCAUUGCCUUUCCCUGUGCUAAUAAUUUAGAUACUAUGGACAUGGACAAGGGGCAAAGCAUUGUUCUGCACCUCCAUCCAUGGUAGUUAGCAUAAUUUAUAACCUGUCACAUUUGCAUUUUUUGUGCAACUCAGUAG
Schistocerca americana (American grasshopper) is the source of this 905-nucleotide long non-coding RNA. RefSeq lists it as uncharacterized. The record is from RefSeq and is a predicted model, not a curated record. Lineage: Eukaryota; Metazoa; Arthropoda; Insecta; Orthoptera; Acrididae. The transcript has 3 exons.